GACGAACGCUGGCGGCGUGCUUAACACAUGCAAGUCGAACGGAAAGGCCCUGCUUGCAGGGUACUCGAGUGGCGAACGGGUGAGUAACACGUGGGUGAUCUGCCCUGCACUUCGGGAUAAGCUUGGGAAACUGGGUCUAAUACCGGAUAGGACCGCACUUUAGUGUGUGUGGUGGAAAGUUUUUUCGGUGUAGGAUGAGCUCGCGGCCUAUCAGCUUGUUGGUGGGGUAAUGGCCUACCAAGGCGGCGACGGGUAGCCGGCCUGAGAGGGUGUACGGCCACAUUGGGACUGAGAGACGGCCCAGACUCCUACGGGAGGCAGCAGUGGGGAAUAUUGCACAAUGGGCGCAAGCCUGAUGCAGCGACGCCGCGUGGGGGAUGAAGGCCUUCGGGUUGUAAACUCCUUUCGCUAGGGACGAAGCUUUUUGUGACGGUACCUAGAUAAGAAGCACCGGCUAACUACGUG
RNAcentral lists this ribosomal RNA (465 nucleotides) under uncultured bacterium. RNAcentral describes it as "partial 16S ribosomal RNA". It matches the Rfam family "Bacterial small subunit ribosomal RNA", at positions 28 to 507 of the family's 1533-position model. The record is from RNAcentral.